RNAcentral lists this ribosomal RNA (1343 nucleotides) under uncultured bacterium. RNAcentral's name for it is "16S ribosomal RNA". It matches the Rfam family "Bacterial small subunit ribosomal RNA", at positions 28 to 1378 of the family's 1533-position model. The record is from RNAcentral.
GACGAACGCUGGCGGCGUGCUUAACACAUGCAAGUCGAACGGAAAGGCCCUGCUUUUGUGGGGUGCUCGAGUGGCGUACGGGUGAGUAACACGUGAGUAACCUGCCCUUGACUUUGGGAUAACUUCAGGAAACUGGGGCUAAUACCGGAUAGGAGCUCCUGCUGCAUGGUGGGGGUUGGAAAGUUUCGGCGGUUGGGGAUGGACUCGCGGCUUAUCAGCUUGUUGGUGGGGUAGUGGCUUACCAAGGCUUUGACGGGUAGCCGGCCUGAGAGGGUGACCGGCCACAUUGGGACUGAGAUACGGCCCAGACUCCUACGGGAGGCAGCAGUGGGGAAUAUUGCACAAUGGGCGGAAGCCUGAUGCAGCAACGCCGCGUGCGGGAUGACGGCCUUCGGGUUGUAAACCGCUUUCGCCUGUGACGAAGCGUGAGUGACGGUAAUGGGUAAAGAAGCACCGGCUAACUACGUGCCAGCAGCCGCGGUGAUACGUAGGGUGCGAGCGUUGUCCGGAUUUAUUGGGCGUAAAGGGCUCGUAGGUGGUUGAUCGCGUCGGAAGUGUAAUCUUGGGGCUUAACCCUGAGCGUGCUUUCGAUACGGGUUGACUUGAGGAAGGUAGGGGAGAAUGGAAUUCCUGGUGGAGCGGUGGAAUGCGCAGAUAUCAGGAGGAACACCAGUGGCGAAGGCGGUUCUCUGGGCCUUUCCUGACGCUGAGGAGCGAAAGCGUGGGGAGCGAACAGGCUUAGAUACCCUGGUAGUCCACGCUGUAAACGGUGGGUACUAGGUGUGGGGUCCAUUCCACGGGUUCCGUGCCGUAGCUAACGCUUUAAGUACCCCGCCUGGGGAGUACGGCCGCAAGGCUAAAACUCAAAGGAAUUGACGGGGCCCCGCACAAGCGGCGGAGCAUGCGGAUUAAUUCGAUGCAACGCGUAGAACCUUACCUGGGUUUGACAUGGAUCGGGAGUGCUCAGAGAUGGGUGUGCCUCUUUUGGGGUCGGUUCACAGGUGGUGCAUGGCUGUCGUCAGCUCGUGUCGUGAGAUGUUGGGUUAAGUCCCGCAACGAGCGCAACCCUUGUUCACUGUUGCCAGCACGUUAUGGUGGGGACUCAGUGGAGACCGCCGGGGUCAACUCGGAGGAAGGUGGGGAUGACGUCAAGUCAUCAUGCCCCUUAUGUCCAGGGCUUCACGCAUGCUACAAUGGCUGGUACAGAGAGUGGCGAGCCUGUGAGGGUGAGCGAAUCUCGGAAAGCCGGUCUCAGUUCGGAUUGGGGUCUGCAACUCGACCUCAUGAAGUCGGAGUCGCUAGUAAUCGCAGAUCAGCAACGCUGCGGUGAAUACGUUCCCGGG